UAAAUGGAUACCUCAACGUUAAAAAUUAAAGAACGUUUGUUAAACGAAAUGUUGUAACGAGUCAAGCUAUUUUAACUUACAACUUUUCUAAAUCGGAAACGAGUUUUGAAAAAUUUAAACAGAUUUUAAUUGUCUUUCAAUUAAAAUUUUUAGAAACUAGUGAACUGAACCAUCUAAGUAACUAGAAAAAAAAUCAACCGAGAAUCCGUUAGUAGUGGCGAGCAAAAGCGGUAUAGACUAUUUUUAAAAGCUACAGGUAGUGUGUUUAAGACUUAAUAGCCAAAGAAGGUAGCAUAAAAUUGAAUAUAUGUAGCCCUGUAAAACACACACCAAAAUUUUAAAAUGCAAAGUAAAAUGAUACAAGUCAUGUAUUAUUUCAACAAUGGGGUCCCACCCUCAAAGUCUAAAAAAUUUUAACGAUUGAUAGCGAAUAGUACCGUAAGGGAAAGGUGAAAUAGAAUUUUCGAAUUUGAAAAGAACUUGAAAUUUAAUGUUUAUAAUCAGUUGUAGCUUUAAAAAAGUGACAGCGUUCCUUUUGCAUAAUGAAUCAAUGAGUUUAUAUCAAUGGCAAGCUUAAACGUUUAAAAGUGUAGGCUAAAAAAAAUUGAGUUUUAAAUUGCGCUCUUUUAAAAAUAUUAUUAGUCUUUGAUAUAAGACCCGAAACUAAGUGAUCUAAUCAUGAACAGGCUGAAUUUAAAGCGGUAACGCUUAUUGAAGGGCCGAACUCGUGUAUGUAGAAAAAUACUGAGAUGAUUUGUGAUUAGGGGUGAAAGGCCAAUCAAACUCGGAGAUAGCUGGUUCUCUGCGAAAUCUAUUUAGGUAGAGCGUCAUCUGAAUACCCCGGGGGGUAGAGCACUGAAUGGGUAAUGGGGGCCUACAGCCUUACUGAUCCUAAUCAAACUCCGAAUACCCGGGAGUACUAGAUGGCAGACACACUGCGGAUGCUAACGUCCGUAGUGGAGAGGGAAACAACCCUGACCUACGACUAAGGCCCCUAAUUCAUGGCUAAGUGGGAAAGCAGGUGGGACGACCAAAACAACCAGGAGGUUGGCUUAGAAGCAGCCAUCCUUUAAAGAUAGCGUAACAGCUCACUGGUCUAAAUAAGUUGUCCUGCGGCGAAGAUGUAACGGGGCUCAAGCCAUGAGCCGAAGUCUAGGAUGCACAUAGUGCAUGGUAGCAGAGCGUAGUG
Molecule: ribosomal RNA, 1189 nt
Filed under: Skeletonema marinoi
Lineage: Eukaryota; Bacillariophyta; Thalassiosirophyceae; Thalassiosirales; Thalassiosiraceae
Description: partial Bacterial large subunit ribosomal RNA
Rfam family: Bacterial large subunit ribosomal RNA
Source: RNAcentral